UGGGGAAUAUUGCACAAUGGGCGCAAGCCCGAUGCAGCCAUGCCGCGUGUAUGAAGAAGGCCUUCGGGUUGUAAAGUACUUUCAGCGGGGAGGAAGGUGUUGAGGUUAAUAACCUCAGCAAUUGACGUUACCCGCAGAAGAAGCACCGGCUAACUCCGUGCCAGCAGCCGCGGUAAUACGGAGGGUGCAAGCGUUAAUCGGAAUUACUGGGCGUAAAGCGCACGCAGGCGGUCUGUCAAGUCGGAUGUGAAAUCCCCGGGCUCAACCUGGGAACUGCAUUCGAAACUGGCAGGCUAGAGUCUUGUAGAGGGGGGUAGAAUUCCAGGUGUAGCGGUGAAAUGCGUAGAGAUCUGGAGGAAUACCGGUGGCGAAGGCGGCCCCCUGGACAAAGACUGACGCUCAGGUGCGAAAGCGUGGGGAGCAAACA
Molecule: ribosomal RNA, 427 nt
Filed under: uncultured bacterium
Lineage: Bacteria
Description: partial 16S ribosomal RNA
Rfam family: Bacterial small subunit ribosomal RNA
Source: RNAcentral